RNAcentral lists this ribosomal RNA (269 nucleotides) under uncultured prokaryote. RNAcentral describes it as "partial 16S ribosomal RNA". It matches the Rfam family "Archaeal small subunit ribosomal RNA", at positions 474 to 743 of the family's 1478-position model. The record is from RNAcentral.
AACCAGCUCUUCAAGUGGUCGGGAUAAUUAUUGGGCUUAAAGUGUCCGUAGCCGGUUUAGUAAGUUCCUGGUAAAAUCAGGUAGCCUAACUAUCUGCAUGCUAGGAAUACUGCUAUACUAGAGGACGGGAGAGGUCUGAGGUACUACAGGGGUAGGGGUGAAAUCUUAUAAUCCUUGUAGGACCACCAGUGGCGAAGGCGUCAGACUGGAACGUGCCUGACGGUGAGGGACGAAAGCCAGGGGAGCGAACCGGAUUAGAUACCCCCGUA